Molecule: long non-coding RNA, 678 nt
Filed under: Citrus sinensis (sweet orange)
Lineage: Eukaryota; Viridiplantae; Streptophyta; Magnoliopsida; Sapindales; Rutaceae
Description: long non-coding RNA (CSIN_LNC000549)
Source: RNAcentral
GUCGCUGUAAGAAGAAGAAUAUAUACGAUUACAUACAGGAUGCUUCAUGUGUACAGGAUGGUCAUUGUCAAGUUCAAACUCCGCUUCAGGUUCCCAUACAACUAGGUCUGCAUGAUUUCCAAUUGCAAUGGCACCCUGCAAAAGGUAUUUCAGAUUAACGUGGAGUGAAAAAUAUGGUAUCAUCUAAUACGUACCCUGGCUGUUACUUUAGCGGAAUUAUUGACUUGAUAAAUUAAUUUGUACCUUUGAAACUUGUCCAGCAAGCUUGGCAGGUCUCUCACUCCACCAUGAAGCUAACUGUUCUAAAGUUACUCCAUAUUUCCGCCCAUAAGACCACGUGACAGGAAGAACAAACUGCAGAAAAUCUCAAGAAAAUGCACAUUGCUUCCCAUAUCAAUAAGAGAAAUAUAACAUUACGAAUUUACGAUCAAUUAUAAAUUUUUGUUAGAUAGUAAUAUGGUUUCGUUAGCAGGGUAGCAAAUUUUUAAUCAAAUAUACCCAACCUGCAAAGAUGAUAUGCCACCCCAAGCUUUCAAAAAGUUGCCUUCAUCAAGGAGUUUAAGUUCUGGCACGGUUGGUGAAUGAUCAGAGCUUAGCAUAUCAAUGUGUCCAUCCUGGAGGAAGCAUUAGAAUCAAGUGUCAAGUCAGUCACAAAAUAAAGAGGAACCAAGGACAUGC